This 117-nucleotide ribosomal RNA is filed under the name Sinocyclocheilus rhinocerous. The record is from RNAcentral. Lineage: Eukaryota; Metazoa; Chordata; Actinopteri; Cypriniformes; Cyprinidae.
UGUAGCAGCCAUAUCACCCUGUAGCCCAAUACUGGUUGCCCACUGAAGCUAAGCAAGGCUGAGCCUGGUCAGUACCUGGAUGGGAGACCUCCUGAGAAAACUAGGUUGCUGCUGGAA